This 1024-nucleotide long non-coding RNA is filed under the name Anas platyrhynchos platyrhynchos (common mallard). Its description in RNAcentral is "lncRNA (ENSAPLG00000025232.1)". The record is from RNAcentral. Lineage: Eukaryota; Metazoa; Chordata; Aves; Anseriformes; Anatidae.
UUCUAGUGAUAAAUUGUCAUUUUCUCAUGGAAACAUGUUUCACAGGAAAAUUUCUGAGUAACUCUUGGUAUGAUUUAUAAAACCCUCAGACCUGCCCACCCAGGAGAGCACUUGUGAAUUUAUGCCCCAGCUGAGAUGAAUGGAAGCCCCUGACCCACUCAGCCCUCACCGUUCCAUCUCCUACACCGCUGCUCCCAGCCCAGGCUGCCGACAUCCAUCAGCCGCCUUCUGGGCAUGGUGCGCAUUGGGAUGAGUGCUGGUGGAAGCUGGAGGGGUAGCGUGCUCUCCAAGGACUGUGGGAUUUGAACUGUGGUGUUUUUUCAAGGGGAGAUCAAGUGAAACGUGGGAGAACAGGCAGAGGAAUUGUAGUUUUGAAGUACUGGUGUGCAAGUCUGGUGGUGGUGGGUUUUUCAGUGUGAGUCAAGGCUGUUGUUGGAUUUAGAAGGUUGUAUGUGUAUAUAAUUCACAAAGGUACAUAAAAUCGCUUGUGUGGUGUAAUGCCUUACAGUGAAAAUGAUUUUUCCAUAGCAAAAAUGGUUUAAUGUGACCAGUGAGUAACACGUGUGCUUGUCUGUUGGAGCUGUAGGAGUCGGAGUCCCUCUGGCUCCAGGAGGGACUGAACGUGCAGGAAGCAGAUCUGUUGAGUGGCCACCCACGACCCGCUGAGGGAAGGCCAGCAGAGCUGGUCACUGCACCGAGGGCCCUGAAGCACAGCCACCCCUGGGGGACGGGGCAGGGAUUCUCCAGUAACCCUGUGCAGAAUGAUUUGAACCUAGCACAUGAACAGGCAUGGGAAAUUAUGGUGCUGCACAUGAUUGCAGAGCUGAGAUAAGUGUUGCUCUUUGUGGAAAAGCAUCAGAAGACCUUUAAUGGCUGUAGGCGGCUGGUGCUGGGGUUGAGAUCUGCACCAGGAGUUACCUCUAAUUACAGAGUGCCCCCUGCUGAGCUCCUGCUCGCCGCUAAGCAGAGCGGAGAGUGCCAUCUACUGCUCCGUACCUAUAAAAUAAAUUAUUCUCCACUUGCA